ACGAACGCUGGCGGCGUGCUUAACACAUGCAAGUCGAACGGAAAGGCCUUUUCGGAGGUACUCGAGUGGCGAACGGGUGAGUAACACGUGGGUGAUCUGCCCUGCACUCUGGGAUAAGCCUGGGAAACUGGGUCUAAUACCGGAUAGGACCGCACUUUAGUGUGUGUGGUGGAAAGUUUUUUCGGUGUAGGAUGAGCCCGCGGCCUAUCAGCUUGUUGGUGGGGUAAUGGCCUACCAAGGCGGCGACGGGUAGCCGGACUGAGAGGUUGGUCGGCCACAUUGGGACUGAGAUACGGCCCAGACUCCUACGGGAGGCAGCAGUGGGGAAUAUUGCACAAUGGGCGCAAGCCUGAUGCAGCGACGCCGCGUGGGGGAUGACGGCCUUCGGGUUGUAAACUCCUUUCGCCAGGGACGAAGCGUUUUGUGACGGUACCUGGAGAAGAAGCACCGGCUAACUACGUGCCAGCAGCCGCGGUAAUACGUAGGGUGCAAGCGUUGUCCGGAAUUACUGGGCGUAAAGAGCUCGUAGGUGGUUUGUCACGUCGUCUGUGAAAUUCCACAGCUUAACUGUGGGCGUGCAGGCGAUACGGGCUGACUUGAGUACUGUAGGGGUAACUGGAAUUCCUGGUGUAGCGGUGAAAUGCGCAGAUAUCAGGAGGACACCGAUGGCGAAGGCAGGUUACUGGGCAGUUACUGACGCU
Molecule: ribosomal RNA, 701 nt
Filed under: uncultured Actinomycetales bacterium
Lineage: Bacteria; Bacillati; Actinomycetota; Actinomycetes; Actinomycetales
Description: bacterial SSU rRNA
Rfam family: Bacterial small subunit ribosomal RNA
Source: RNAcentral